UAACACGUGAGCAACCUGCCCUUCAGAGGGGGAUAACGUUUGGAAACGAACGCUAAUACCGCAUGACAUAUCGGUACCGCAUGGCACUAAUAUCAAAGGAGCAAUCCGCUGAAAGAUGGGCUCGCGUCCGAUUAGCUAGAUGGCGGGGUAACGGCCCACCAUGGCGACGAUCGGUAGCCGGACUGAGAGGUUGAUCGGCCACAUUGGGACUGAGACACGGCCCAGACUCCUACGGGAGGCAGCGGUGGGGGAUAUUGCACAAUGGGGGAAACCCUGAUGCAGCGACGCCGCGUGAGGGAAGAAGGUUUUCGGAUUGUAAACCUCUGUCCUCAGUGACGAUAAUGACGGUAGCUGAGGAGGAAGCCACGGCUAACUACGUGCCAGCAGCCGCGGUAAUACGUANGUGGCAAGCGUUGUCCGGAAUUACUGGGUGUAAAGGGAGCGUAGGCGGGAAUACAAGUUGGAUGUCUAAUCUACCGGCUUAACCGNUAUUCGCAUUCAAAACUGUAUUUCUUGAGUGAAGUANAGGCAGGCGGANUUCCUAGUGUAGCGGUGAAAUGCGUAGAUAUUAUGAGGAACACUANNGGGGAACGCGGNCUGCNUGGGCUUAAACUUNACGCUGAGGCUNGNAAGCGUGGUAGCAAACANGAUUAGAUA
Molecule: ribosomal RNA, 657 nt
Filed under: uncultured bacterium
Lineage: Bacteria
Description: bacterial SSU rRNA
Rfam family: Bacterial small subunit ribosomal RNA
Source: RNAcentral